Molecule: small RNA, 101 nt
Filed under: Olea europaea subsp. europaea
Lineage: Eukaryota; Viridiplantae; Streptophyta; Magnoliopsida; Lamiales; Oleaceae
Source: RNAcentral
AUAGAUUAGGCAAUACUAAAUAUAAUUGAAACAAUACCGAGAAGAUUAGCAUCGCCCUGACAAACAAAGAAAUGGUCAUUUGACACUAGAUACAGUUGAGA